Molecule: ribosomal RNA, 2878 nt
Filed under: Stenotrophomonas maltophilia
Lineage: Bacteria; Pseudomonadati; Pseudomonadota; Gammaproteobacteria; Lysobacterales; Lysobacteraceae
Also listed under: 1 other name
Description: 23S ribosomal RNA
Rfam family: Bacterial large subunit ribosomal RNA
Source: RNAcentral
GGUCAAGCGAAUAAGCGCACACGGUGGAUGCCUUGGCGGUCAGAGGCGAUGAAGGACGUGGCAGCCUGCGAAAAGUAUCGGGGAGCUGGCAACAAGCUUUGAUCCGGUAAUGUCCGAAUGGGGAAACCCACCCGCUUGCGGGUAUCCUGCAGUGAAUACAUAGCUGCUGGAAGCGAACCUGGUGAACUGAAAUAUCUAAGUAACCAGAGGAAAAGAAAUCAACCGAGAUUCCGUAAGUAGCGACGAGCGAACGCGGACUAGCCCUUAAGCUGAUUUGGUUCUAGGAAAACGCUCUGGAAAGAGCGGCCAUAGAAGGUGAUAGCCCUGUAUCUGAAAGGGCCAUUUCAGUGAAGACGAGUAGGGCGGGGCACGUGAAACCCUGUCUGAACAUGGGGGGACCAUCCUCCAAGGCUAAAUACUACUGACCGACCGAUAGUGAACCAGUACCGUGAGGGAAAGGCGAAAAGAACCCCGGAGAGGGGAGUGAAAUAGAACCUGAAACCGUGUGCGUACAAGCAGUAGGAGCUCCGCAAGGAGUGACUGCGUACCUUUUGUAUAAUGGGUCAGCGACUUACUGUUCGUGGCAAGCUUAACCGUAUAGGGGAGGCGAAGGGAAACCGAGUCUGAUAAGGGCGCAUAGUCGCGGGCAGUAGACCCGAAACCGGGUGAUCUAGUCAUGCCCAGGGUGAAGGUGCGGUAACACGCACUGGAGGCCCGAACCCACUCCCGUUGCAAAGGUAGGGGAUGAGGUGUGAUUAGGAGUGAAAAGCUAAUCGAACCCGGAGAUAGCUGGUUCUCCUCGAAAGCUAUUUAGGUAGCGCCUCAUAUGUAUCCUCUCGGGGGUAGAGCACUGUUAUGGCUAGGGGGUCAUCGCGACUUACCAAACCAUUGCAAACUCCGAAUACCGAGACGGACUGUAUGGGAGACACACGGCGGGUGCUAACGUCCGUCGUGAAAAGGGAAACAACCCAGACCCACAGCUAAGGUCCCAAAUUUUGUGCUAAGUGGAAAACCAUGUGGAAAGGCACAGACAGCCAGGAGGUUGGCUUAGAAGCAGCCACCCUUUAAAGAAAGCGUAAUAGCUCACUGGUCGAGUCGGUCUGCGGGGAAGAUUUAACGGGGCUAAGCACAGAACCGAAGCUUGGGGUGCAUACUUUGUAUGCGCGGUAGAGGAGCGUUCCGUAAGCCGUUGAAGGUGGAUUGAGAAGUCUGCUGGAGGUAUCGGAAGUGCGAAUGCUGACAUGAGUAACGAUAAUGCGGGUGAAAAACCCGCACGCCGAAAGCCCAAGGUUUCCUUGCGCAACGUUAAUCGGCGCAGGGUGAGUCGGCCCCUAAGGCGAGGACGAAAGUCGUAGUCGAUGGGAAGCAGGUUAAUAUUCCUGCACCUCGCGUAAGUGCGAUGGAGGGACGGAGAAGGUUAGGUGUACCAGGCGUUGGUUGUCCUGGGGAAAGGCGGUAGGUUUGGAUCUUUGGCAAAUCCGGGAUCCUCUAAGACCGAGCACCGAGACGAGCCUUUAUGGCGAAGUCACUGAUACCACGCUUCCAGGAAAAGCUCCUAAGCUUCAGCUUACGCAGACCGUACCGUAAACCGACACAGGUGGGUAGGAUGAGAAUUCUCAGGCGCUUGAGAGAACUCGGGUGAAGGAACUAGGCAACAUGGCACCGUAACUUCGGGAGAAGGUGCACCCUUUUUGGUGGCUCGUGCGAGCUAUAGCUGAAGAGGGUCGCAGUAACCAGGCCGCUGCGACUGUUUAUCAAAAACACAGCACUCUGCAAACACGAAAGUGGACGUAUAGGGUGUGACGCCUGCCCGGUGCUGGAAGGUUAAUUGAUGGGGUCAGCCGCAAGGCGAAGCUCUUGAUCGAAGCCCCAGUAAACGGCGGCCGUAACUAUAACGGUCCUAAGGUAGCGAAAUUCCUUGUCGGGUAAGUUCCGACCUGCACGAAUGGCGUAACGACAGCGGCGCUGUCUCCACCCGAGACUCAGUGAAAUUGAAAUCGCUGUGAAGAUGCAGCGUUCCCGUGGCAAGACGGAAAGACCCCGUGAACCUUUACUAUAGCUUUACACUGAACGUUGAGUUCGUCUGUGUAGGAUAGGUGGGAGGCUAUGAAACCAUGGCGCUAGCUGUGGCGGAGCCAUCCUUGAAAUACCACCCUGUCGUGCUUGACGUUCUAACCUGGGCCCAUUAUCUGGGUCGGGGACCGUGUAUGGUGGGUAGUUUGACUGGGGCGGUCUCCUCCUAAAGAGUAACGGAGGAGCUCGAAGGUACGCUCAGCGCGGUCGGACAUCGCGCACUGUGUGCAAAGGCAUAAGCGUGCUUGACUGCAAGAUCGACGGAUCAAGCAGGUAGGAAACUAGGACUUAGUGAUCCGGUGGUUCUGUAUGGAAGGGCCAUCGCUCAACGGAUAAAAGGUACUCCGGGGAUAACAGGCUGAUACCGCCCAAGAGUUCAUAUCGACGGCGGUGUUUGGCACCUCGAUGUCGGCUCAUCACAUCCUGGGGCUGUAGUCGGUCCCAAGGGUAUGGCUGUUCGCCAUUUAAAGUGGUACGCGAGCUGGGUUCAGAACGUCGUGAGACAGUUCGGUCCCUAUCUGCCAUGGGCGUUGGAGAUUUGAGAGGGGCUGCUCCUAGUACGAGAGGACCGGAGUGGACGAACCUCUGGUGUUCCGGUUGUCACGCCAGUGGCAUUGCCGGGUAGCUAUGUUCGGAAGCGAUAACCGCUGAAAGCAUCUAAGCGGGAAGCGCGCCUCAAGAUGAGAUCUCCCGGGGCACAAGCCCCCUGAAGGAACCAUGUAGACUACGUGGUUGAUAGGUCAGGUGUGUAAGUACAGCAAUGUAUUGAGCUAACUGAUACUAAUGAUCCGAGAGGCUUGACCAU